This 232-nucleotide ribosomal RNA is filed under the name uncultured bacterium. RNAcentral's name for it is "partial 16S ribosomal RNA". It matches the Rfam family "Bacterial small subunit ribosomal RNA", at positions 118 to 350 of the family's 1533-position model. The record is from RNAcentral.
UGGGCAACCUGCCCCUAGCUCUGGGAUAACUCCGGGGAAACCGGGGCUAAUACCGGAUACGACCUCCUGCGGCAUCUCGGGAGGUGGAAAGAAUUUCGGCUAGGGAUGGGCCCGCGGCCUAUCAGCUUGUUAGUGAGGUAAUGGCUCACCAAGGCGACGACGGGUAGCCGGCCUGAGAGGGAGACCGGCCACACUGGGACUGAGACACGGCCCAGACUCCGUACGGGAGGCA